Molecule: long non-coding RNA, 396 nt
Organism: Armigeres subalbatus
Lineage: Eukaryota; Metazoa; Arthropoda; Insecta; Diptera; Culicidae
Exons: 3
Source: RefSeq, a predicted model, not a curated record
UUGCCAGUGCGGAUGUGCUACUAAAAGCCAGUUUAAACGUAGAGACGCCAACCGACGCCAUAGUGCGAAAGAUUCGUUAAAAGUUUAAAUAGUUGAAAAGUGUGAUUAGUGCCUAGAGAAAUAAGCUAAUCUUGAAUUGUUUAUUAACAGUAGUUAGCUUCGAGGCAUCACAUGUGCAACUAUUAGUACUCUUGAAUGAGUUAGAACCCGAAGCAAGAAAUCCCCUACAACGUAGGGUGCUUGCGUAGGAUUGGGCCACCCGUCAAAUUACCACCCACGUGCUCUGCCGACUUGAUGCGUAUGCACUUGCGCCGAGGACACUCGUGAGCACGUUUUCGUCCCGUACGAUUCAUCUCGUUUCUCAACCACACGAAAUCCGCCUACUGAAGCGCAACA